UCCUGCGGAUCGCAUCGCCCGUCUCCAGCAGGAUCCGGUUACUCGGAUGAAGAUGCAAACCCCUCUCCGCCGUACAGGCAGGAUUUUUACAGGGAAUUUUCUGGAGAAGGCAGAAGGGCUCACCCUGGGCAGGAGAAUGAUCCUCAGGAUGAGGAGGAAAAGUGACCACUGCUGGCCGUGCUGGAGGUGAGGAGGUCAUCAUCCAAGGGACAAGCCUUGCUGGAAUGCAAAGAUCCAAGAGCUCCUUCCCUCUCCGUCCUGCCCCGUGCAGGAGCAGCACCAAGGAGCCCACAAGAGGAUGUUCAGCAGGACGCCCCAGCCCUGGAGCCCCCCCUGCCCAUCCAAGGAGGAAUUCCCAGUUGGGAAUGUGGCUUUCAUGGCGUGUCCUGGACACAGCUCCACCCCUGGCCUUUUCCCUCCUCGGGAAUUAAGGACUGCGGGCAUUACGGGAUGCCUGGGAAGAGGUGCCACUUCCGAGGCAAAGCCUCUCCCUGGGCAAAGCAGCAGGAAUGGCUGGAAUGUGAUCCAGACUGGAUUCUGGUUUCAGCUGAAUCAAAAAGACAACCCCCCCCUCCCCCCCCCCCCGCAGCCUGCGGAGCCCGCUGGGGUUGGAGGGAAGGGCAGGGCAGCAGCAGGACUGAACCUGCCAGAGCAGCUGGAGGGGGGAGCAGUGGGACCGAGGCCUCCCCAGCCCAAGCUGCCUCACCAGAGCUCCCCCUCCAGCGCGAUCCCAGCGGGAACAGGCUCCGGAGCCCGCGGGAAGCCCACAGCAGCCGUGCUGUGGGGCUGCUCUGCUGCAGCUGCCUCCCUGAGCUCCGAACCCUGCCAGGGCCUGUCCACAGCAGCACAUUCCGGGUGAGUGAAGGGUCUGCGCUCCCCCCGUGCCUUCGGGGUCUGCCCCAAGCUCAGGUUUUGUGUUUGCUCCUCCGGAGUUCACGUUCAGCCCCAAAACAGCCCCGGAUUGCAGUAACAAUUCCCAGCUCUUCCCGCACACAAAGGCAAAGGAGACUUCACAAACUCCACAGGCUUUGUACAAAAACCGCUUUUUUUUGCUUUUAUUUCACAAAAUUGGGUGGCUGCUGCAGGAAUCAAACCGGCCCUAUACAGAGAUCAGGUGAAAAAGUGGGCACAGGGAUUAUUUAUACAGAAACAAAACAGUGUCCAGGAUCCAGGUCCUCGGCAGGAUCAGCACUAGGACAGUAAAAAAUAGUCUCCACCUGGAUCCUGGGAAUCGCUCACGCUAGAAACAACCUGAGGUUACUCUAAACUGGACUAAGGGCUGCACCAGAAAUCCCAUGCUCACCCCAAAGACCCUGGAGGGGAAGGAAGCCUUGGGAAGGGGAAUGGGAAGGCCCCGGCCGCUCUCUGUGCGGCACCGGGGAGUCGUGCUGGAAGACCUGGCAAAUCCUUAAUUUUUAAAUGGUGGAAGUGGUUCCAGAGUUUGUGGGAGUCUCUCUCCAGCCCAACCUCAACUCCCACCCAGCCAAAAGCCACCCUUGAAAUCAAGGAGCAGCCUCCAGACCCUCAGCAGGGAAA
Molecule: long non-coding RNA, 1536 nt
Organism: Corvus hawaiiensis (hawaiian crow)
Lineage: Eukaryota; Metazoa; Chordata; Aves; Passeriformes; Corvidae
Exons: 2
Source: RefSeq, a predicted model, not a curated record